This 5456-nucleotide long non-coding RNA is filed under the name Lactuca sativa (garden lettuce). Its description in RNAcentral is "long non-coding RNA (LSAT_LNC004763)". Lineage: Eukaryota; Viridiplantae; Streptophyta; Magnoliopsida; Asterales; Asteraceae. The record is from RNAcentral.
CCUCGUCAGUCAAGAUGAUAUUCUUGAUUGUCUCACUUUGAUUUUCUGUGUUGUCAAUCUGAUUUUCAGGUGCAAGUGUAACAUCCUCUUUUAUAUCUCUUUUCUCAUCUGCUAAAUCCUUUUCACUCGUAUACUUAAUGAUGUUUUCAGAGGUGAUGUCUGAUUUUUUUGGUUCAGGAUUUGUUUCCUUAACCUCGUCUUCUUCUAUCACUGAUUCAGAUGUGGGUUUGAUUACUUCAAGAUCCUAUUUUGCAACAAAAGAAGAAAAAAUAAAAUUUAGAUAGUAUGAUUGAUAAGGCCUCUUUCUUAGGAUAACAGCUGCAUAAAAGGAAUGGUGAUAGUUCUUUAUUUGUGCACUAACCUCUUUAAUGAAAACUGCAUCACGAGAUGAUAUUGAAAGGUGUUCUGCAACUUGCUUGCUUUCUGUUGUCUGUUUUCAUUAGCGUAAAGUAUAUCAAGUUCAUUAUAAGAGAAAUGCAAGAAAAAGAAUGUGUUAUUCAAAACUCUUGAAAAUCUUCUAACCUCUUCACUUGAAAUUUCAUCAGUUCUAACCUCAGAGACCCCAACAGGUAUUGGAUCUGAAUAUGGUAUCUACGUGAAAAAAUGUCAUGUUAAAACGUAUACUCAUACAGAUAUGAACAUAAUACAAAUCUCAUCUUUCUGUUAAUAGACUCACCACAUGUGCCGUUUCCUUUUGAUCUUCUGAAGAUUUCUCCUGAAGUUCUGUGGAAUGACUAUCUUCCUCAACAAUCUGUUCUUUGAGGUCAUCUGUUUCCUUUUCCUUUGGUAUAUUUAAAGGCACCUGUUCAAUUUAUAUAACAUUCCUGUAAGCAGAUCCCUUUGAUGACUUGAUAGAUAAGAAAGUCUGGUGGUAUUAUUUCUUGCUCACCUCUUCAUUCAAGAUAACAUCCUUUGACAUCUCACUGCAGUCUUCUGUGCUAUUAAGCUGAUUUUCUUGUGUAACAUCCUCUUUCAUAUCUUCUUUUUCAUACAAUGAAUCAUCUGCACCAAUUUUUGUUGUCUGUUCUGUUUUCUGCAUCCAUUAGUGUCAAAAGUAUGUUAAGAAAACACAAAAAGAAAUGCAAUAAAAGGAUGUGUGAACUGUAAAGACAUUGUAAUUCUAUCUGACCUCAUCACUUGAAAUUUCUUUUGUUACAGUUUGUUUCUCUUCAUCCACAUAUGUUGUUGUUGCUGAUGUAAGACGAUCUUCUUUCGGGUUUGAAUCUUCUGACUUGGGCACCAAUUCAGGGAUUUUUACAUCAUAGACAGAUUCAAGAUCUAGUGGCAAAGUUUUAAGGGUUUCUUCUGUUGUAGUUACUAAUGAACUUGAGGGUACAAUAUCUUCUUGAGGUUUGACUUCUGUUGUUUCAUUUGAAUCCUUAGAUUUUUCUUUUGAUGCUUCAUCCAAACCAUCAUUCUGUUGCUCAACAGGUUCAAUCUCCCUUGUUCUUGCAUCUUGAAAGCACUUUUCUUCUUUAGUUGUAGUGUCAUUUGGAUUCUCUAUGCUGUCAUGGGAUAAAUGUUCAUCCUUUUUUGUGAUUUCCUCUUCUUCUAUAGUUUCACUUAUGGUUUCAGUUGGACCUGCCUGUAUCUCCUCAACAAUUUGUCCUUUAGGUUGACCAAGCUCUGACGACACCUGUUUAAAAUAUAUUUUUUUAAAUAAUUUAAUAUAACAAACAACUGAAUAUCGAAGAAGGUUGAGCUAUAUCUGUUAUAAAAUGAAGUCUUUUGAAUAUUCUAUCUGUUAAAAGAUGAUAUCCAACUUUGAAUGAACAAAUGAAAACAUUUUGAUGUUAUAGUUCCCUUUUUCACAUGUCCACUGACCUCAUCGGUUAAUUCCUUUUCAUCUGAUGUUGUUGUCUUUUCAUCUGCUAAGUCCUUUUCAGGCAAGAUGACAUUCUCCAUGAUGUUUUCAGGGGUGAUGUCUGAUUGUUCUGGUUGAGGCUUUGUUUCCUUAACCUGGUAUUCUUCUAUCACCAUCUUAGACAUGGGUUUGAGUUCUCCAUGUAGUUCUAGAUUCUAUUUUGCAAAAAAUAAACCAAAAUAAUGCAGAUAGUUUUACUUUCCAUAUGACAACAUAAGUGUUCAUGAUAGAGUGAUAUGUCAAUAUGCAUUAACAUCAAAAAUCUUGAAAAUUUUCUAACCUCUGUACUUGAAGUUUCAUUAGCUAUAACUUCAUGUUCUUUCUCUCCAUUGUUUUCAUCUGUAUACUCGGUUGUUGCUGAGACAAUGCUCUCUUCUUUCACUUUUGAGUCUUCUGAAUCAACAACUACUUCAGGGGUUUGUACAUCACAAACAGAUUCAAGAGCCUGUUUGGGUGACUCAUCGAUUUCUAAUGGAUCUGAAUACGAUAUCUGCUUAAAAAAAUUCAUGUUAACACAUAUUCAUACAGCAUGAACAAAAUACUAUUCUCAUCUUUCUGUUAAUAGACUAACCACAGGUGCCUUUUGAUCUUCUGUUGAUUUCUCUUGUAGCUCUGUGGAAUUACUAUAUUCCUCAACAAUCUGUUCUUUGAGGUCAUCUGUUCCCUUUUCCUUUUGUGUCUCUAAAGGUACCUGUUCAAUCUAUAUAACAUUCAUGUAAGCAGACCCCUUUGAUGACUUGAUAGAUAAGCAAGUGGUUAUAUAUUUAUCGUAUUCACCUCUUUAGUCAAGAUGACAUCCUUUGAUAUCUCACUGCAGUCUUCGGUGCUAUUAAGCUGAUUUUCUUGUGUAACAUCCUCUUUUUCAUACAGUGAUUUGUUUUCACCAAUUUCUGUUGUCUGCAACCAUUAGUGUCAAAGUAUGUCAAUAAAGCACAGAAGAAAUGCAAGAAAAAGAUGAUGUGAACUGUAGGGACGUUUUUCUGUCUGACCUCUGCACUUGAAACUUCUUUUGUUUCUGUUUCUUUUUCUUCAUCCACAUGCGUUGCUGUUGUAAGACACUCUUCUUUCAUGUUUGAAUCUUCUGACUCGAGCCCCACUCCAGGGAUUUGUACCUCAGAAACAGUUUCAAGAUCUUCAAGGAAGAUCUCUUUAGUCAUUUCUGUCUGCUCCUGCCUUUCAUCAGUAUUGACCACUGUGGUAGCAUGUUGUCCGAUUGUUGUUUCUUUUAUAUCCUCACUGGAUGCAUUUUGUGAGCUUGUAACAUCAUCUUCACCAUCUUGGACUUCUUCUGACAUUUUGAGGUCUUUUUCUUUUGCUUGAUUUUCCUCUUUGCUCACUGUUUCAUCCUCAUUCAAUUCAGAUUCAACCUUCUCUAAUCCUGUCACUUCAUGGACUUCCUUAACCAGGGAGCUUUCAGACUUUUCUGUUUGACCAUCAUCAUUGACUACAUCCUCCUUUUUUUCUAUGGUUUCGACACUAGAUUUGAUUUCUUCAGUGUCUUCCUCUAUACUUUCUCUAGUUUCAAAAAACUCAGGUUCUUUACCUUCUUCUUGGUAGUUCUUUUUUUGCAAGUCUUCUUCUAAUGCUGCAACCUGUGAGGUUGUUACAUUGUCCUCACCUUGACCUUCUGCCGACAUGUUGACCUGAUCCUUUUCUUGAUCUUCAUCUUUAAAAGUUUCUAUUGCUUUUAUCCCUUCUUCAGAUUCAACCUUUUCCGAACUAGUCUCAUCACAUACCUCUUUGACAGAGUGGAUAGGAGGCGUUUCCAUUUGAUCAUCAUCAUGCUCAAUAGGCUCUUUGUUUUUUUCUUCAGUUUCUGUUUUCUCUUCUUGAGAUUCCACUUGUGCUGAUGUGAAAACAUCAGUUGUGAUGGCAUGUGGCAACUCUCCUUGCUCCACUUUUUCUUUUGUUUUAACAUUUGUGCUUAUAAGUUCAUUAUCUUCCUCCAUGCUUUCUCUAGUUUCAAAAAAUACAUCCUCAGAGGCUGCAACUGUAUCCUGUGAGCAUAUAACUUCAUCCUCACUUUGGUCUUUUUCUGGUAUGUUGAGCUCUUGUUCCUUUUCUUGAUAUUCAUCUUUGCUUAAAAUUUCUAUUUCUUUCUCAUUCUGAUACAUAUCGGAAUUUAUCCCUUCUUCAGAUACAGUCUUCUUUAAGUCAGUCUCUUCACAUACUUCCUGUUGCUCCUUUUCAUCUGUUUCAACACUUGGUUUGAUUUCUUCAGUAUACAUCUCUUGCUCAAAAAUUAUGCUGGCACUUUCUUCUAUUUUAUCUUUUGCUCCAUUAUCAUCAUACUGCUCGCUUGCCUAUAUGAAGAGUGUAUUUUGAGUACAUGGGCAGAAUGGACAAUACAGAACUUGGUAAGUCUAAUGUAUAGUCAAAGUUUGUAAAACAAUCUGUGUAACAGCUUAGUUUAUUGGUCUCUUUUUCAAAAGAAAAUUAUGAGCAGCAUUUGCUCUAAAGUCUAAACUACUUUAUAAAACGGGUUUCCCUUAGAAUUUAUCAUUUUCAUAAAUAUCCACAACUUGCUUUUCUUCUAGUUCUAUACCCCUCCCCAAUUGUACUGUUCAAUUGAAUAAAUCAAGUUCUGUAUUUGAAGUUACACUUAAUAUGCUCUAUAAAAUAUGUAUUUUAUCUUGUUUAGGGCCCUUAAAAUGGUCUAAUAUAUAUAUAUNNNNNNNNNNNNNNNNNNNUAUAUAUAUAUAUAUAUAUAUAUAUAUUUGUAAGAGAUACUUGAACUACCGAGUUGAACAACUUAUGCAUUUGUUACUUUCUCAAACACAUGAGAUGAGAAAUUUUGUAGCAGACAACAUAAUGUCUUGAUAAUUUUAGCAUUGCAAGUUUAGUUGGAAUGAUGUACAAGUAAAACCUUUUGAAAUAAUUAGAGAUUACUUAAGAUGAACAUAAAUUACCUCUUGAGCAUGAAUUGAUUUGUCUUCUAUUUCUUCCUUGAGGAUCUCUUUGGUCAAUGCACUAUCAUCUUUGCUCUCCUCAAAAUCAACCACUGUGGUAACAUGUUGACCAAUUGUUGACUCUUGUAUAUCCUCACACGUUGCAUCUUCUGAACUUGUAACGGCAUCCCCACCACCUUGGACUUCUUCUGGCAUUUUGAGUUCAUGUUCCUUUUCUUGAUUUUCCUCUUUGCUCACUAUCUCAUUCUCAUUCAAUUCAGGUUUAGCCUUCUCUGAUCCUGUCACUUCACACACCUCCUUAACCAAUGGGCUUUCAAACUCAUCAUUGACUAUAGCAUCUUCCUCAAUCUUUUCUUCAUUUUCCAUAGUUUCUUUUUUAGGUUCUAUUUCUGUUGAGCUGCAAACAUCAGUAGUAAUGACAUGCAGCAACCCUUGUUGCUCCAUAUUUUCUUUUGUUUCUAUACUAGAUUCGAUUUCUUCAAUGUUUUCCUCUACACUUUCUCUCGUUUCAACAACUUCAGGUUCUUUACCUUCUUCUUGGUAGUUCUUUUCUUGCAAGUCUUCUUCUAAGGCUGCAACCUGUGAGCUUGUUACAUUAUCCUCGCCUUGACCUUCUGUUGACAUGUCAACCUGAUCCUUUUCUUGUUCUUCAUCCUUGAAAGUUUCAAUAGCUUUUACCUCUU